Molecule: ribosomal RNA, 253 nt
Filed under: uncultured bacterium
Lineage: Bacteria
Description: partial 16S ribosomal RNA
Rfam family: Bacterial small subunit ribosomal RNA
Source: RNAcentral
UACGGAGGGAGCGAGCGUUGUCCGAAGUUACUGGGCGUAAAGCGCGCGUAGGCGGGUUGGUAAGUCCGCUGUGAAAGCCCGGAGCUCAACUCCGGAGGGUCGGUGGAUACUGCCAGUCUUGAAGGUGCUAGGGGGAGAUGGAAUUACCGGUGUAGCGGUGAAAUGCGUAGAGAUCGGUAGGAACACCAGUGGCGAAGGCGGUCUCCUGGGGCAUUCUUGACGCUGAGGCGCGAAAGCUGGGGGAGCGAACGGG